UAUCUCUGUAGAGUCUGCAUAUCAAUAAGCGGAGGAAAAGAAACUAACUAGGAUUCCCUUAGUAACGGCGAGUGAAGCGGGAAGAGCUCAAAUUUGAAAUCUUCAAGGUUCUACCUUGACGAAUUGUAGUUUAAAGAAGUGUUUUCUGUUGGAGUUUUGGUAAAAGUUCUUUGGAAUAGGACAUCAUAGAGGGUGAGAAUCCCGUAUUUGACCAUUACUUCCAGCGUUGUGAUACACUUUCAAAGAGUCGGAUUGUUUGGGAAUGCAGUCCAAAAUGGGUGGUAAAUUUCAUCUAAAGCUAAAUAUUGGCGAGAGACCGAUAGCGAACAAGUACCGUGAGGGAAAGAUGAAAAGAACUUUGAAAAGAGAGUUAAACAGUACGUGAAAUUGUCAAAAGGGAAGCGUUUGACACCAGUGUUGUUUUCUCGAAAAUCAAUUAAAAAAAGUUGGAUUUUGUAUUGUUAAGACCUUAUCAGCUUACUGUACUCUUUUCUUGCUUUUUUUAAUGCACUUUUCGUUUAACAAGUCAACAUCAAUUUCUUUUGUUGUAAAAGAGUCAUUGGAAGGUGGCUUUCACUUCGGUGAAAGUGUUUAUAGCCUUUGGCUUCUGCAAUCGGAGAGAUUGAGGUCUGCAGCGUAGAUCCUUCGGGGCUAGAUACGUAGAUGCUAAGUUAUAGUUUUUUAUAGACAACUUGUUGACUAUAAUUAAUCAUGUAGCUUACUCGUUUGCGCUAUUUUACCUACGCUUAGGAUGUUGAAGAUGUAGCACAUCAU
Molecule: ribosomal RNA, 774 nt
Filed under: uncultured Neocallimastigales
Lineage: Eukaryota; Fungi; Neocallimastigomycota; Neocallimastigomycetes; Neocallimastigales
Description: partial large subunit ribosomal RNA
Rfam family: Eukaryotic large subunit ribosomal RNA
Source: RNAcentral